CUUUUGCCUGAACAGCACUGGAUCCAUCUGUUGAUAUUCUUUAUAACCCUUAUAACAGGGGCCUUGACAGAUGAAGAUGUGAUAAGAGCUCUGUUGGGUGGGAGUGCGUCUUUUAAUUUUAAGGUUACAACAAACAUGAAAGUAACCCUGUAUGGAAAAAGUGUCCAAAUCAGAAGGUUUUUGUGUUCAGCCCCAUCCAUGGACUUACUAUAUUUGACAACAACUAUGCUGGUCGUCUUUCCGUAAAAUCUAACCACAGCAUUAUACUGGAUAAAUUACAAGAGAGUGACUUUGUGACUUACUGUUACGAACUCACCACUUUCCCAAAUGGGAGUCUUCAAGGACAAAAUAAGCUAGAGAAAACGACAGAAAAUGGUGACCUGCCCAUCACGAUAAUCUCUGUGUGUUGCAGCAUAGGUUUAAUAGUAUUAUGUGGAAUCAUCGCAGGAGUGGUUUGCUAUAAGAAGAGGAAAAGCAACACUGCGUUGCAUCCUGGAGGACCUCCUGGCAGUCAGCCCUCUGUGCGGCUGAAAAAUAAGAAGCGACCCAA
Sinocyclocheilus rhinocerous is the source of this 550-nucleotide long non-coding RNA. RefSeq lists it as uncharacterized. The record is from RefSeq and is a predicted model, not a curated record. The transcript has 4 exons. Lineage: Eukaryota; Metazoa; Chordata; Actinopteri; Cypriniformes; Cyprinidae.